RNAcentral lists this non-coding RNA (30 nucleotides) under Rattus norvegicus (Norway rat). Lineage: Eukaryota; Metazoa; Chordata; Mammalia; Rodentia; Muridae. The record is from RNAcentral.
UGCGCUCCUCCACUGUGUGGUUUGCCUUAU